CGUAGUAUGAACCCACACAUGCUAGAAAAACCUUCCUUUAUGCAGAAAAAGGAUGUAAGCAUGAAAAUUUAUUAGCAUUAAUGCACAAAAAUCAAUUAAAAAUAAAACAGUUCCUUCUAUGUCUAUAGACAAGACAAAUUCCUGCAGAUGAGACUACUGUAUGAUAACUUUGCUUUUGCUGUUAUUUUUUUGCACAGUAAACGUAAAUUGUACUAUCAAUAAGAUCUCUCUGGACAGUGACAGCCUUUAUUACAAUACCUUAUUAACAUACUUCUUUAAUCAUUUCAAUCUUGUACAAGUUAAUGUAAAUUUCUGAAAGCAAAAGGUGAUAUCGCAUCCAUUCUGCCAGAAGGUGGAGCUCCAGGAUCCAUCCUAGUUCAGUCUCAGUUCAGUUGUUUAAAAACAGAGCAGACAUACAUUGAGUCAGUCAUACUCAGAGAGAGAACUGUAAGUCUUGACUCUCAAAGUCAUUGUCUCUCAUUAGUGCAGAUGUUGCCCCUCGUAUUCAUUAUAUUUUCUCUCCUAAAAGAGACUGCUGGUGAAGAUGUCAUAAAACCAGUCUCCACACAGAAGCAGGUUUUGGAAGGAAAAGAUGUUACACUGAUCUGCAACUACACCGAAGCUGUUCAAAAUUUACAAUGGUAUCGUCACUAUCCCGGAUCCAAACCUGAGCACCUCAUCACGUUCUUUGAGACCACACAGAGCACGACAGAGGACGCUCUCCGUCUGACCGCUGCGGCUGAUAAAGCAGCUAAAAGUAUGACUCUGACGAUCUCUUCUACAGAAGUGAAAGACUCUGCCAUGUACUACUGUGCCCUGGUGCCCACAGUGACAGGAAACACAACUACACUGUACAAAAACAGAGUGAGAAAGGAUAUUUAAGACAGAAGACGAUGCACAAUGCAGAUUUUAAAACUACACUCUUUAUAAAGUGGACAAUCAAUUGUUACCUUUCGGAAUAGUUUCUAAACCCAUGUACAGUACAACUGGUAGUGUCCUCACCAUUAAUAUUAUCAGACCACUUCUU
Cyprinus carpio (common carp) is the source of this 1027-nucleotide non-coding RNA. The record is from the annotation of a RefSeq genome assembly. NCBI's taxonomy places the organism in Eukaryota, Metazoa, Chordata, Actinopteri, Cypriniformes, Cyprinidae.